GAUGAAGAACGCAGCGAAAUGCGAUACUUGGUGUGAAUUGCAGAAUCCCGUGAACCAUCGAGUCUUUGAACGCAAGUUGUGCCCGAAGCCACUAGGCCGAGGGCACGCCUGCCUGGGUGUCACACGUCGUUGCCCCCCCCCCCAUCUACUCCUUCGGGAUUGCGGGGGGCGGAUGAUGGCCUCCCGUGCGCCUAGCCGCGCGGUUGGCAUAAAUACCAAGUCCUCGGCGACGCACGCCACGACAAUCGGUGGUUGCGAAACCUCGGUUGCCCGUCGUGUGCGUUCGUCGCGCAUCGAGGGCUCGAAAAAAUGCUCGGCUCCGGCUCGGCUUUCAACGCGACCCCAGGUCAGGCGGGGUUACCCGCUGAAUUUAAGCAUAUCAAUAAGCGGAGGA
RNAcentral lists this unclassified non-coding RNA (394 nucleotides) under soil metagenome. RNAcentral's name for it is "partial contains 5.8S ribosomal RNA, internal transcribed spacer 2, and large subunit ribosomal RNA". The stretch from base 1 to 122 matches the Rfam family "5.8S ribosomal RNA", at positions 35 to 154 of the family's 154-position model. The record is from RNAcentral.